This is a non-coding RNA of Mycena epipterygia, 94 nucleotides long. Lineage: Eukaryota; Fungi; Basidiomycota; Agaricomycetes; Agaricales; Mycenaceae. The record is from the annotation of a GenBank genome assembly.
GACCUAGUGGUGGAAUGUAUCGCGCCCGUGAUCGAUAAUCCGGGACGUGGAACCUUGAUAGCGAGAGGUCCUGGUUCGAAUCCAGGCUGGGUCC